UUGAGUUUGAUCCUGGCUCAGAUUGAACGCUGGCGGCAUGCCUUACACAUGCAAGUCGAACGGCAGCAUGAUCUAGCUUGCUAGAUUGAUGGCGAGUGGCGAACGGGUGAGUAAUACAUCGGAACGUGCCCUGUAGUGGGGGAUAACUAGUCGAAAGAUUAGCUAAUACCGCAUACGACCUGAGGGUGAAAGUGGGGGACCGCAAGGCCUCAUGCUAUAGGAGCGGCCGAUGUCUGAUUAGCUAGUUGGUGAGGUAAGGGCUCACCAAGGCGACGAUCAGUAGCUGGUCUGAGAGGACGAUCAGCCACACUGGGACUGAGACACGGCCCAGACUCCUACGGGAGGCAGCAGUGGGGAACUUUGGACAAUGGGGGCAACCCUGAUCCAGCAAUGCCGCGUGUGUGAAGAAGGCCUUCGGGUUGUAAAGCACUUUUGUCCGGAAAGAAAUCGCACUUACUAAUAUUAGGUGUGGAUGACGGUACCGGAAGAAUAAGGACCGGCUAACUACGUGCCAGCAGCCGCGGUAAUA
Molecule: ribosomal RNA, 529 nt
Filed under: uncultured Ralstonia sp.
Lineage: Bacteria; Pseudomonadati; Pseudomonadota; Betaproteobacteria; Burkholderiales; Burkholderiaceae
Description: bacterial SSU rRNA
Rfam family: Bacterial small subunit ribosomal RNA
Source: RNAcentral